UUCUGAGGAGUGAUUGUAAUAACUGAAAUAAAAGAGAAAUAAAAUAAAUAAAUAAAAUAAAAUAAAUUGAAUAUGCAUCAGGGCUAACCGUCGUUAUGCUUAGGCUUAAGAGUCGAGAGGAUCAUUUUAAGAAGCAAAGCGAGGGAUAUCGAGUGAUAGGGAGAGAGGAUUGUCAUGCCCUAGUUGUAGGAAGAAACGGAGGAGGAGAAAUCGAAGGAAAACGUGGCAGAUGUUGUUUCGAACUAUGCGAUAGAAGAAGAGGAGAAAGAAGAAGUUUGAUACGAUUGUCCUCGUCACGCGAUACUUACUCGAGCGACAACGAAGGAAGGAGGAUGACUUCGUGCCCUGCUAUUGUGCUCAGGUGAGAUGUAAGACAAGGUAGACAAAGAAGAAGGAAAGAGGAGAAAUAAGCCUUACGUGCUUUGUUGGAUGAACUAUGACCGAAGAAGAAGAAAAGAAGUGGAGAUUUCGUGAUAUUGUGCGUGAGGUAGCGUUGUUGAGUCUUACGAAGGAAAAGAAGCAGAGGAGAAGGCUUGUCGUGCUCUCGUAAUCUGUUGCUGUGAGACAUGACCUAAGGGAAAAAGGGGAGGAUCGCUUACGUGCAUUGGGUUAGAGCAAGGCAACCGAAGGUUUAUAAGGAAAAUUCAGAGGAGCGUGCGAGUUGGGGGGAGGAACGUGCCAAACAACUUAUAAGGAAGUACUUGAUGUUGAGGAGAUUAUAGUUUUGAAAUUGAAAGGAAGAACGCGAAGACUUCUGCAAGGAACCCAACCA
This is a long non-coding RNA of Phalaenopsis equestris, 772 nucleotides long. RefSeq lists it as uncharacterized. Lineage: Eukaryota; Viridiplantae; Streptophyta; Magnoliopsida; Asparagales; Orchidaceae. The transcript has 3 exons. The record is from RefSeq and is a predicted model, not a curated record.